ACACGAUUAAUUAUUCUUUUUGUGAAUCAAAAAUAUAAAAAAAAAAUAAUUUUCUUCUUUAGUUUUUAAAAAAAAGAAAUUUAAUGUACAGUACUGAAAAGGAACAAUUAAUUAUAAAAAAAGUAUUGUUAGUACCUUUUGCAUCAUGGUUUAUAGAAAAUUUAACAUAUAGUCAAUUCCCGAAUUAGAAAGAUCUAAGCACAUGUAAUAGUUUAUGUUUCAUAAUGAUUAUUAACUUGUAUUUAGAGGCUAUAAGUCAAUCGGUUUCUAAGAUAUCUGGUUCUUUUGGAAAUAAAUUUAAUUUAGAAAAUUAAUUAGUAAAAGGUUUUACCUAACUAUUAUUUAAUUUAAUUUUUAGAGAGAAAGUUUCUAAAACAGUUAUAUCAAUAGAAUUAUUAUUAUCAAAUAAAUAAUAACUAAUUUGAAUUUAUUUUUAUUGAUUAAAUUAAAACAAAAGAAAUAGAAGAAAUAAGGUUAUCUAUAAUACAAUUAUAGAAUGAGUAGUUAAUAUAAAAUAUGGGUUAGGAACUCGGCAAAAACUUUCUCUGUCUGUUUAACAAAAACAUAGCCUCUUUUUCAUAAUAUGAGGUAAGACCUGCUCACUGAAAUUUUUAAAGAGCCGCAGUACGCUAACUGUGCAAAGGUAGCAUAAUAAAUAGUACUUUAAUUGGGUACUGGAAUGAAUGGUUAAACAAGAGAAAUCCUUUCUCACUUGUAAAUAAUGAAUUUAAACUUUGAGUGAAAAUGCUCAAAUAUAAGUGAUAGACAAGAAGACCCUAUAGAUCUUAAUUUCUAAAACUUAUUUUAAGUGAACAGAAAUUUUGUUGGGGUAACAGGAAAAUAAGAAAAAUUUUUUCUUAGUCAAAUCUUAUUUAGAGAUUAUUGACCUUGAAAUUUAAAUCACAAGAUAAGUUACCUUAGGGAUAACAGCAUAAUGAAAAGUUAGGAGAGCUAAUCUUAAUUUGUGUUUAUGACCUCGAUGUUGAAUUAAGGUUACUUCGGGAAGUAGAAUGUUCGUGGAGUUAGUCUGUUCGACUAUUAAUACCUUACAUGAUUUGAGUUCAGACCGACGUAAGUCAGGUCAGUUUCUAUCUUCACUUUAAAAAAGGUGUGCCAGUACGAAAGGACAGUAAAACCAA
RNAcentral lists this ribosomal RNA (1139 nucleotides) under Franciscoloa pallida. Its description in RNAcentral is "16S ribosomal RNA". The stretch from base 500 to 1139 matches the Rfam family "Archaeal large subunit ribosomal RNA", at positions 1423 to 2773 of the family's 2987-position model. The record is from RNAcentral. Lineage: Eukaryota; Metazoa; Arthropoda; Insecta; Psocodea; Menoponidae.